UCUCUGAAUUAGCCGACAAUUAGGUUAAAUGAAUCCGACAACUUCCGGUAUAUUUUUUGACCUACUUCACGAGCAUAAUUAUCAGCCUGUUAAGCUCAUAAGGGAAAUAAAAGAUUAUUUACUUUAAUAUUCACUUGGAAAGGCUGGUACAUGUAGCUAGAAAAAAGUACAGUAUAAGAUUAAAGAAAGACUAGAAGAUUAUUACAAACAACAGGUGGACAUGUGUCACUGUCAAGCGAAGGAAGAUAAGCAUCACACUCGGUGGGAAUCUCCAGUUUCCAGAUGUAGUGAUCAUAACUGUAUAGGCACCAUUAACACUUUGGACUAGUUGGAGUAUUUUAGAGGGCUAGUCUGAAUUGAAUCCCCUGUCAAUAGUAAAGGCCAGUCAUGAACAUUGUGUUGAAGGAAAAUGAUAAAACUCGCAUUUCCCGCUUAACCAAUCAUUACUUUACCUUAUAUUCAGUGCGGUAAUGUAGGAAAUGGUUACUUUCUGGAAUGGAGCUGUCAAUUAUUUUUAAUUUUUUAGCUUGUUAGUGUUAUCGUCGGACAGUUGUGAAGUAAAGACAUCGCAGUUUGACUGUAUACAAGUUGCCUUAAAGAAAGUAUGUCAAAAUCUUAACAGUUAUUCGUUGAUUUUGUAGAAAUUGACCAGAAUUCACCUUUGUUUACACGCAUCGCUUGGACGUCGAAAACGACAUGCAAUGACAUUUCAGUGAAAUUUGGAAACUUGCUCGUAUUUUGGAGCAUUUUGUAGGAUUUCGAUGAAGUAAAAAGUGUUUAUGAUAGGAUACAUUAUUCCUAGAGACAACCACAAAAAUAAAAUAGUGAUCUGGUGUAUUUUUACCGAACA
Long non-coding RNA from Ruditapes philippinarum (Manila clam), 850 nucleotides. RefSeq lists it as uncharacterized. The transcript has 3 exons. The record is from RefSeq and is a predicted model, not a curated record. NCBI's taxonomy places the organism in Eukaryota, Metazoa, Mollusca, Bivalvia, Venerida, Veneridae.